AUUGAACGCUGGCGGCAGGCCUAACACAUGCAAGUCGAGCGGAUGAAGGGAGCUUGCUCCUGGAUUCAGCGGCGGACGGGUGAGUAAUGCCUAGGAAUCUGCCUGGUAGUGGGGGAUAACGUCCGGAAACGGGCGCUAAUACCGCAUACGUCCUGAUGGAGAAAGUGGGGGAUCUUCGGACCUCACGCUAUCAGAUGAGCCUAGGUCGGAUUAGCUAGUUGGUGGGGUAAAGGCCUACCAAGGCGACGAUCCGUAACUGGUCUGAGAGGAUGAUCAGUCACACUGGAACUGAGACACGGUCCAGACUCCUACGGGAGGCAGCAGUGGGGAAUAUUGGACAAUGGGCGAAAGCCUGGUCCAGCCAUGCCGCGUGUGUGAAGAAGGUCUUCGGAUUGUAAAGCACUUUAAGUUGGGAGGAAGGGCAGUAAGUUAAUACCUUGCUGUUUUGACGUUACCAACAGAAUAAGCACCGGCUAACUUCGUG
RNAcentral lists this ribosomal RNA (484 nucleotides) under uncultured bacterium. Its description in RNAcentral is "partial 16S ribosomal RNA". It matches the Rfam family "Bacterial small subunit ribosomal RNA", at positions 30 to 507 of the family's 1533-position model. The record is from RNAcentral.